This 168-nucleotide unclassified non-coding RNA is filed under the name soil metagenome. Its description in RNAcentral is "partial contains 5.8S ribosomal RNA, internal transcribed spacer 2, and large subunit ribosomal RNA". The record is from RNAcentral.
AAGACUAUAGACCUGCGGAGUACCUGCGGAGGGAUCAUUAGUGAACGCCCUCACGGGCUUAUAACUAUUCCAAACCUCUGUGAACCGUGCCCUUCGGGGCUAUUUUACAAACAUGGUGUAAUGAACGUCAUAUAUCAUAACAAAACAAAACUUUUACAAUGGAUCUCU